UACAGAGGUCUCAAGCGUUGUUCGGAUUCAUUGGGCGUAAAGCGCACGUAGGCGGAUUCUUAAGUCAGGGGUGAAAUCCUGGAGCUCAACUCCAGAACUGCCUUUGAUACUGGGAAUCUCGAGUCCGGGAGAGGUGAGUGGAACUGCGAGUGUAGAGGUGAAAUUCGUAGAUAUUCGCAAGAACACCAGUGGCGAAGGCGGCUCACUGGCCCGGUACUGACGCUGAGGUGCGAAAGCGUGGGGAGCAAACAGG
This 253-nucleotide ribosomal RNA is filed under the name uncultured bacterium. RNAcentral's name for it is "partial 16S ribosomal RNA". It matches the Rfam family "Bacterial small subunit ribosomal RNA", at positions 524 to 776 of the family's 1533-position model. The record is from RNAcentral.